UACGGGGGGGGCAAGCGUUGUUCGGAAUUACUGGGCGUAAAGGGCUCGUAGGCGGCCAACUAAGUCAGACGUGAAAUCCCUCGGCUUAACCGGGGAACUGCGUCUGAUACUGGAUGGCUUGAGUUUGGGAGAGGGAUGCGGAAUUCCAGGUGUAGCGGUGAAAUGCGUAGAUAUCUGGAGGAACACCGGUGGCGAAGGCGGCAUCCUGGACCAACACUGACGCUGAGGAGCGAAAGCGUGGGGAGCAAACAGG
This 253-nucleotide ribosomal RNA is filed under the name uncultured bacterium. Its description in RNAcentral is "partial 16S ribosomal RNA". It matches the Rfam family "Bacterial small subunit ribosomal RNA", at positions 524 to 776 of the family's 1533-position model. The record is from RNAcentral.